RNAcentral lists this ribosomal RNA (497 nucleotides) under uncultured bacterium. RNAcentral's name for it is "partial 16S ribosomal RNA". It matches the Rfam family "Bacterial small subunit ribosomal RNA", at positions 28 to 507 of the family's 1533-position model. The record is from RNAcentral.
GAUGAACGCUGGCGGCGUGCCUAAUACAUGCAAGUCGAGCGAACAGAUAAGGAGCUUGCUCCUUUGACGUUAGCGGCGGACGGGUGAGUAACACGUGGGUAACCUACCUAUAAGACUGGAAUAACUCCGGGAAACCGGGGCUAAUGCAGGAUAACAUGUUGAACCGCAUGGUUCUACAGUGAAAGGCGGCUUUGCUGUCACUUAUAGAUGGACCCGCGCCGUAUUAGCUAGUUGGUGAGGUAACGGCUCACCAAGGCAACGAUACGUAGCCGACCUGAGAGGGUGAUCGGCCACACUGGAACUGAGACACGGUCCAGACUCCUACGGGAGGCAGCAGUAGGGAAUCUUCCGCAAUGGGCAAAAGCCUGACGGAGCAACGCCGCGUGAGUGAUGAAGGUCUUCGGAUCGUAAAACUCUGUUAUUAGGGAAGAACAAAUGCGUAAGUAACUGUGCGCGUCUUGACGGUACCUAAUCAGAAAGCCACGGCUAACUACGUG